UGGAUAGAAUAGCCAUUUUUCAAGUGUAUUGCUACAGAAGAACAUCAAGGCAAAGCAGAGGUUUGCAGUGGGAUAGAUUUUCAGUCUCUGCAUAUAGCAGUGGGACAUCCCACUUGUGAACCUUACUUCCUAUUUGGGGACAGAAACAUCUUAUAGCCCCAGGAACCCUACACUCAGAGACUCAGAUAAGAGCUGGUCUCUGGACUGGAGUGAGACAAAGAGAAAUUUCAACCAGAAGAAUUUCUAUCAUGCUCUGCCCUGGCCUGCUGUGGGCGUUCCUGGCCUCCUUUGGCUUCAGAUCCGGCAUGGCUGAGAAAGUGAUCCAAAUGCAGAAUACGGUAAUAAUUCAGGAAGGAAAAGCUGCCACCAUGGAGUGCAAGUAUGAAACCAGUUGGAGUAAUUACUAUACUUUGUAUUGGUACAAACAGCCUCCCAGUGGAAGGAUACAUUUCCUCAUUUACCAGGAUGAAAGCAAGCCAAAUGCAAAGCAGGGUCGCCUCUCCAUGAACUUUCAAAAGACAGAAAAAUCCAUCGCCCUCACCAUCUCUCUCGUACAACUGGGAGACUCGGCGGUGUAUUUCUGUGCUCUCAGUAGUUCCACGGUAAUAAAAAUAAUAGUGGAAGAUGAACAGAAGCCUUGGAGCUCCACAAAGGCAGCCACCUGCUUAGAGGCUUAGGAAAAACCCAUGAACCACUGACAGGAAGAAGGAAGGCACUGUGGUAGCCCAGUUGAGACUUUCUAAUGUAAACUUCCUUUCUAUUAAAAAAAUGUUCUCCUAAUUGAGCUCGGUGUAUAAAACAAUAUUGUUCCCUGAGAUUGCCAAGUAUUACAUUUGUAUCUUGGGUUAAAGUAAACCACCCAGUGCUUCUCUAAUUGUCCCUAAACAGUUAGGCUUGUUAAAAAGGAAACAGAAGGCUCAAAAUGGAGUCACUUGUGCUAAACCCCACAUCAGUAAACCAAGACUUAAUCCUUAACCUAACUGUAGUUCCAACCUUCCAGGAAUGUAAACUUUAACCAGUUAACAUGGAAUUACCUAGUCAGCACUAGUGACAUAACCUGCCAGAUAGAUCCCCUCUGUUCCCCUUAGAAAAGCGACUUGCCUAAAACAAUGCAUUACUUGCUAAUAAUUUCCUUUUUCUGCCCCCUAUUCACCAAAUCCUAUGCUAAACAACAAACAAUGUGGGCUUUGGGAACUGCCUUCAAACACAGGAAGAAGAAAGUACUAAGGAAAGUGAAAAGAAUUUGGUUGAGAGUGAGUUUUACAACUACUUCUGGGAGAAAAAACCUAACAGAAAUAGUUCUAAAAUCCCUGAGUGACUGAAAAUAAUUCAGUCUUUCAUCUCAGAGUAUUGUGGUAGGAAGGUCUUCACUGAGCCUUCCACUAGAGGGAGGUAUCAUAGACAAGGUAUUUAUCUUUAGACCUAAAACACAAACCUUGAAAAGACUGUGGACAGACUUGGUUCCUAGUUCUAAGUAAAGAAGUUCAUACACACGGUCACAAGAGGGGGCUGUUACACCUGCAAACCAAAGCUCCUUCCAGACUGAGGGGGAGAUUAUCACUGAGUUGCACAAAAAUUUCACUUUCCUCCCUUGUCACCUUGCACUUCAUAAUCUCACAUGGAAUGAGAACACAGCUUCAAGGACAUAGGUAAACCUCUUACCCAAUGCAGAGCAAAGAGCGGACCUCUCAUGGGAAGAAAAGAGAGAGGUGAUUAAUAGUUUAAUUUUUAAUGGCCAAAUAUUGGCUCCUAUAGUAAAGUGAUAAGCUUAGUUAUUAGAGCAGAGAAGGAUGAAAAAUUUUAAUUUUAUUCUAUCCCAUUUCUUUAAUAACAACCAUUUCUUUAGAAUAAAUAGGGAAACUCUUUUAUGUUUAUUUCCACCUCUUGUAAAAUGGCUUCGUUUCAAAUAAUCCCUUCUCAUUCCUUCCUUCUUUUUAGCAGCCUCAAUGCACACCACCACUGGGCUUGGAGACGAGAAAAUAUGUGUUGAAGAUGGGCUCAGGUGGGAUAGGAAUAAGUACCAUUCAAGUCAUUGGUUUCUGUAUCAAGACCAGAGGCAUCCAACAACGUCUGUCUGGAAGAAGCUUAAAAUAUCAUUUCAGGAGCCAACAUGGAAGACCUGAAUACCAGGCACCUUGGUUUUUUUUUUUUUUCACUUUGGCUUUUACACUGGAUUCCAAUUUUUUCUUUUCCUGUUAGAGUACGCACAGUAGUAUCGUACAACUGUGAAGUUAUUUUUGUCAUAAACUUGCAAAUAUUUUCUUCCAAUGUUAUUGGAUUUUUAGCUCAGCUUAUGGUCAUUUUUUUUUUAACCAGAAAGAAGUUUCUAACUUUUGAAGUUAAAUUGUUACUGCUCCUGAGAUGUACUUUCUCUGGCUGAGCAUACAGAUAGGAAUUCUCAUCUUCCUUAUACAGUCCAGCGCUCAAUAUAGGUUUCUUGGAUUAAGACAUUCAUACCAGCUCAGCGGAACAUCAAGUCACCAAUUAGUGGUGGGUUUUGCCUUGUGCCACAAAUGAGAGUUGGAUAAUCUCUUUGGGGAUGAUUUUGCUCAUUCAGCUGCACUCAGACAUAGCCAACGUGAGUUUGAGCCUUGAAAAGGAUCUUAGUGUAAGCCCUUUAAAUUAGGCCUGGACAUUGGGAAAAUAUCCUUGUUCUCUUUUAAAAUUUUUUGUUUAAUCCUAGGGGUGGGAGUAGACCCAAUCAAGAGACUGCUCCGUGUUCAGCUGACACCCAACUGGAAAGCUGCCUGGCAGAGGGCUGUGCGACUGGCUGCCUAGUUCUUGCUGGGACCUCCCCCAAUGUAGGCUAAGAUACAGAUCCUGAACUCUGCGACCUGGGACUCCAGUUUGCACUUGAACUAUGAGAUCACUGACGGGAUUAGCUAUUCUCCUAACUUUAGGUAUUAUGAGCGAUGCUGAGACCACACAGCCAAAUGCAAUGGAGAGUACAGAAGAGGAAUCUGUACGCCUGCCCUGCAACCACUCCACAAUCAGUGGGAGUGAGUACAUACAUUGGUAUCGACAGAUUCCCCACCACGGGCCAGAAUAUUUGAUUCAUGGUCUAAAAGACAAUGUGACUAAUGGAAUGGCCUCUCUAACCAUCGCAAGAGACAGAAAGUCCAGUACCUUGGUCCUGCCCCGGGUUACCCUGGGAGAUGCCGCCGUGUACUACUGCAUUACCAGAGACACACACUGGGACAGAUGGGGCUGCACCUGUACACUAUCUGCCUGGCGGGGAGGGGAGGGCCGGGGGGGGGGGGGGGGGGAAGGGAAGCAGCAGCUGCCAUCUCAAGAGGUCACUGCACAAGAACGAGCCGGAGCCCAGUAGAAGAGACGUAAAGAAGAAAAGGGGGAAGAGGUGAAGAGAAGAUUGUAAGGAAGUCAAGGAAGAAAGAAUAAAAGGAUCAAAGAGGAUGCAGAAGAAGGGCUUAGUUAUUAAAGGGAAGGACUAAAACGCUUGCAAGGAAGAGACACAAUUGUAAACCUUCCAUAAAGGGAAAGGGAAAUGAGAAUUUGCCAUAGCUCUUUGUUUUUUUUUUUAAUUUAUUUUUAAUUAA
Leopardus geoffroyi (Geoffroy's cat) is the source of this 3557-nucleotide long non-coding RNA. RefSeq lists it as uncharacterized. The transcript has 3 exons. The record is from RefSeq and is a predicted model, not a curated record. NCBI's taxonomy places the organism in Eukaryota, Metazoa, Chordata, Mammalia, Carnivora, Felidae.